Molecule: non-coding RNA, 71 nt
Organism: Anthonomus grandis grandis
Lineage: Eukaryota; Metazoa; Arthropoda; Insecta; Coleoptera; Curculionidae
Source: the annotation of a RefSeq genome assembly
GCCCCGGUAGCUCAGUGGCAGAGCAACAGACCGAGUGUUUGCAGACCCGGGUUCGAUUCCCGGCUGGGGCA